CUCCUUUCAAUGUCACCGAAGAAGAAAGAAUCAGCUGGUUUAAAGGAAAGCUCCCCAAAUUUGUGAUUUUUGAUUCAGACGAGAGAGCACAGCGGUUCCAUGGUAGAGUUCUUGAAUUCUUUGACCAUGAGUGUGAGACUCAGUUCUUCAUGACAUGGAUUUCACCUGUGAGGUCUUUCGGAAGCAGAGAAUUCCUGUCGAUGGAGAGUGUAUUCAGAGCUCACCCUCGCGGUUGCUUGAUGAUUCUCUCGAGAACCAUGGACUCCAGGCGAGGUUACAGGCUUCUGAAACCUCUGCAGGAUCGCGGCUUCAAAGUUCAUGCAGUGACACCAGACUUGUCAUUUCUGUUCAAGAACACCCCAGCCGAGGCCUGGUUUGCUGAGAUGAAGAAAGGCAUCAAAGACCCUGGUGAGAUUCCAUUAGCUCAGAACCUGUCUAAUUUAAUGAGACUAGCAGUUCUAUACAAGUAUGGAGGUGUGUACCUGGACACAGAUUUCAUCGUCAUGAAAUCGUUUUCCGGGUUGAGGAACUCAAUCGGUGCACAAAGUAUGGAUGCUGAGAUGAAACACUGGACCAGACUAAAUAAUGCAGUGCUGGUGUUUGAUAUGAAUCAUCCUCUUCUGCACAAAUUCAUUGAGGAGUUUUCCUUGACUUUUGAUGGGAAUAAAUGGGGUCAUAAUGGACCCUAUCUUGUUUCCAGAGUGGUCCAGAGAGUGGAAAACAGACCUGGAUAUAACUUUACAGUCCUGCCUCCAAUGGCUUUCUAUCCUGUGGAUUGGACUAGAAUAGGGGGAUUGUUUAAGAAGCCGAAAAACCAUGCUGAUACUAAAUGGAUAAAAGCAAAGCUGCUUCAGCUUAGCGGGGAGACUUACGGAGUACACCUGUGGAACAAGCAAAGUAGCAGAGUACAAAUCGAAGAAGGAAGCAUUAUGCAGAGAUUAAUCUCCGAUCACUGCAUCAUCUGUAAAGACAUAUACAGUUCUUAAAGAAUCUUUGAACGAGAAUAUGAUGAAGCAUCUUCAACCUGUGGCAAAGUCACAGACUGAAAAUUGAUACCCUCCUAUAGGUGGUGUACUCUGUUGCUUCAUUUAGAUAGAGAAAGUUUUCUUAAUUUUUUGUUUCAUUCAUAGCUUGUUCAUCUUGUUCUUCUUUUCAUUCUGAUUUUUAUGCUCC
Molecule: long non-coding RNA, 1173 nt
Filed under: Fragaria vesca (wild strawberry)
Lineage: Eukaryota; Viridiplantae; Streptophyta; Magnoliopsida; Rosales; Rosaceae
Description: long non-coding RNA (FVES_LNC002844)
Source: RNAcentral